This 276-nucleotide long non-coding RNA is filed under the name Ananas comosus (pineapple). Its description in RNAcentral is "long non-coding RNA (ACOM_LNC017261)". Lineage: Eukaryota; Viridiplantae; Streptophyta; Magnoliopsida; Poales; Bromeliaceae. The record is from RNAcentral.
UGAAAUAUAUAUAUAAGGGCAAAUCUUAACUAAAAUAUUUUCGGCCGUUUAUUUUGAGACUACUCAUUUACUAGACAAAUGUAAUUAAAAAAUUAUGACAUUUGAUUUUUAAAUAAUUCUAAUAACGUAGAUCAUGUCUAACGGAGCUGAUCAUCGAAUCAGAUGUCCUAUCACUGAAAACAACUUACAAGUGCGAAAAUCUCUAUACUUUCGAAAGCGUAAGAGGCGUACUCUCUCUCUCUCUCUCUCUCUCUCUCUCUCUCUCUCUCUCUCUCU